This 820-nucleotide ribosomal RNA is filed under the name uncultured archaeon. Its description in RNAcentral is "bacterial SSU rRNA". It matches the Rfam family "Archaeal small subunit ribosomal RNA", at positions 82 to 903 of the family's 1478-position model. The record is from RNAcentral.
CGGACUGCUCAGUAACACGUGGAUAACCUACCCUUGGGACUGGAAUAACCCCGGGAAACUGGGGAUAAUACCGGAUAGAUCAGGGAUGCUGGAAUGCACCUUGAUCCAAAGCUCCGGCGCCCAAGGAUGGGUCUGCGGCCUAUCAGGUAGUAGUGGGUGUAACGUACCUACUAGCCAACGACGGGUACGGGUUGUGAGAGCAAGAGCCCGGAGAUGGAUUCUGAGACACGAAUCCAGGCCCUACGGGGUGCAGCAGGCGCGAAACCUUUACAAUGUGCGAAAGCAUGAUAAGGGAACUCCGAGUGCCAGUAUCUAAUACUGGCUGUCCUUGUGCCUAAAACGCACAAGAUAGCAAGGGCCGGGUAAGACCGGUGCCAGCCGCCGCGGUAACACCGGCGGCCCGAGUGGUAGCCGCUAUUAUUGGGUCUAAAGGGUCCGUAGCCGGUCCGAUAAGUCCUCUGGGAAAUCUGGUUGCUUAACAAUCAGACUGCCAAGGGAUACUGUCGAACUUGAGACCGGGAGAGGUAAGAGGUACUUCAGGGGUAGGAGUGAAAUCUUGUAAUCCCUGGGGGACCAUCUGUGGCGAAGGCGUCUUACCAGAACGGGUCUGACGGUGAGGGACGAAAGCUGGGGGCGCAAACCGGAUUAGAUACCCGGGUAGUCCCAGCCGUAAACGAUGCUCGCUAUGUGUCAGGUACGGUGUGACCGUAUCUGGUGCCGUAGGGAAGCCGUGAAGCGAGCCACCUGGGAAGUACGGCCGCAAGGCUGAAACUUAAAGGAAUUGGCGGGGGAGCACUACAACGGGUGGAGCCUGCGGUUU